Molecule: ribosomal RNA, 465 nt
Filed under: Vreelandella stevensii
Lineage: Bacteria; Pseudomonadati; Pseudomonadota; Gammaproteobacteria; Oceanospirillales; Halomonadaceae
Description: partial 16S ribosomal RNA
Rfam family: Bacterial small subunit ribosomal RNA
Source: RNAcentral
CCUACGGGGGGCUGCAGUGGGGAAUAUUGGACAAUGGGGGCAACCCUGAUCCAGCCAUGCCGCGUGUGUGAAGAAGGCCCUCGGGUUGUAAAGCACUUUCAGUGAGGAAGAACGCCUGGUGGUUAAUACCCAUCAGGAAAGACAUCACUCACAGAAGAAGCACCGGCUAACUCCGUGCCAGCAGCCGCGGUAAUACGGAGGGUGCGAGCGUUAAUCGGAAUUACUGGGCGUAAAGCGCGCGUAGGUGGCUUGAUAAGCCGGUUGUGAAAGCCCCGGGCUCAACCUGGGAACGGCAUCCGGAACUGUCAAGCUAGAGUGCAGGAGAGGAAGGUAGAAUUCCCGGUGUAGCGGUGAAAUGCGUAGAGAUCGGGAGGAAUACCAGUGGCGAAGGCGGCCUUCUGGACUGACACUGACACUAAGGUGCGAAAGCGUGGGUAGCAAACAGGAUUAGAUACCCGAGUAGUC